AGCAGCCGCGGUAAUUCCAGCUCCAAUAGCGUAUAUUAAAGUUGUUGCAGUUAAAAAGCUCGUAGUUGAAUUUUGGGUCUGGCCGGGCGGUCCGCCCUCUGGGUGAGCACUGUUCCGACGCCGGGCCUAUCCUUCUGGUGAGUCGGCAUGUCCUUUGUUGGGUGUGUCGGGGAACCAGGACCAUUACCUUGAAAAAUCAGAGUGUUCAAAGCAGGCGUAUGCUCGGAUACAUUAGCAUGGAAUAAUGAAAUAGGACGCGUGGUGCUAUUUUGUUGGUUUCUAGAACCGCCGUAAUGAUUAAUAGGGAUAGUUGGGGGCAUUAGUAUUCAAUUGUCAGAGGUGAAAUUCUUGGAUUUAUUGAAGACUAACUUCUGCGAAAGCAUUUGCCAAGGAUGUUUUCAUUAAUCAAGAACGAAAGUUAGGGGAUCGAAGACGAUCAGAUACCGUCGU
This 450-nucleotide ribosomal RNA is filed under the name uncultured Ambispora. RNAcentral describes it as "SSU rRNA". It matches the Rfam family "Eukaryotic small subunit ribosomal RNA", at positions 569 to 1021 of the family's 1831-position model. Lineage: Eukaryota; Fungi; Glomeromycota; Glomeromycetes; Archaeosporales; Ambisporaceae. The record is from RNAcentral.